GGCUUGUUGGUCUAGGGGUAUGAUUCUCGCUUAGGCUGCGAGAGGUCCUGGGUUCAAAUCCCGGAUGAGCCC
This is a non-coding RNA of Danio rerio (zebrafish), 72 nucleotides long. The record is from Rfam. NCBI's taxonomy places the organism in Eukaryota, Metazoa, Chordata, Actinopteri, Cypriniformes, Danionidae.